UGAGCCUUUAAUAACUAUGGCUGAGAUCCAACCCAUAGUCUCUCUUUGUCUCUUAUGUGUUUGUAGUUUUAGAUGAUGAAUUUUGAAGUGGAAUUACUUUUAAGUUUUCUGCUUCUGGAGUGUGAUGAUGGUGGCAGUUAGGUAUCUCACAUCUUUAGGUUUGAAUUUCCUCUUAUCUGAUGUUUUGGCUGUUUUCUUCAAUUAUGUUAUAAAUCAAUAGAGCAGCUUGCAAUUAAUGUAUAUACAAUUCUAACAUGCUUACCAUUCAGGUGCGAAAAAGAAACACCGAA
This 290-nucleotide unclassified non-coding RNA is filed under the name Hevea brasiliensis (rubber tree). Lineage: Eukaryota; Viridiplantae; Streptophyta; Magnoliopsida; Malpighiales; Euphorbiaceae. The record is from RNAcentral.